Molecule: transfer RNA, 73 nt
Filed under: Ceratitis capitata (Mediterranean fruit fly)
Lineage: Eukaryota; Metazoa; Arthropoda; Insecta; Diptera; Tephritidae
Rfam family: tRNA
About the family: Transfer RNA (tRNA) molecules are approximately 80 nucleotides in length. Their secondary structure includes four short double-helical elements and three loops (D, anti-codon, and T loops).
Source: Rfam by way of RNAcentral
GGGGAUGUAGCUCAGAUGGUAGAGCGCUCGCUUAGCAUGUGAGAGGUACGUGGAUCGAUGCCCCGCAUCUCCA